GAUGAACGCUAGCUACAGGCUUAACACAUGCAAGUCGAGGGGCAUCAAGAAGAAAGCUUGCUUUCUUUGCCGGCGACCGGCGCACGGGUGAGUAACACGUAUCCAACCUGCCCUUUACUCGGGGAUAGCCUUUCGAAAGAAAGAUUAAUACCCGAUAGUAUAAUGAUUCCGCAUGGUUUCAUUAUUAAAGGAUUCCGGUAAAGGAUGGGGAUGCGUUCCAUUAGGUUGUUGGUGAGGUAACGGCUCACCAAGCCUUCGAUGGAUAGGGGUUCUGAGAGGAAGGUCCCCCACAUUGGAACUGAGACACGGUCCAAACUCCUACGGGAGGCAGCAGUGAGGAAUAUUGGUCAAUGGGCGCUAGCCUGAACCAGCCAGGUAGCGUGAAGGAUGAAGGCUCUAUGGGUCGUAAACUUCUUUUAUAUAAGAAUAAAGUGCAGUAUGUAUACUGUUUUGUAUGUAUUAUAUGAAUAAGGAUCGGCUAACUCCGUGCCAGCAGCCGCGGUAAUACGGAGGAUCCGAGCGUUAUCCGGAUUUAUUGGGUUUAAAGGGAGCGUAGGUGGACUGGUAAGUCAGUUGUGAAAGUUUGCGGCUCAACCGUAAAAUUGCAGUUGAUACUGUCAGUCUUGAGUACAGUAGAGGUGGGCGGAAUUUGUGGUGUAGCGGUGAAAUGCUUAGAUAUCACGAAGAACUCCGAUUGCGAAGGCAGCUCACUGGACUGCAACUGACACUGAUGCUCGAAAGUGUGGGUAUCAGACAGGAUUAGAUACCCUGGUAGUCCACACAGUAAACGAUGAAUACUCGCUGUUUGCGAUAUACAGUAAGCGGCCAAGCGAAAGCAUUAAGUAUUCCACCUGGGGAGUACGCCGGCAACGGUGAAACUCAAAGGAAUUGACGGGGGCCCGCACAAGCGGAGGAACAUGUGGUUUAAUUCGAUGAUACGCGAGGAACCUUACCCGGGCUUAAAUUGCAGUGGAAUGAUGUGGAAACAUGUCAGUGAGCAAUCACCGCUGUGAAGGUGCUGCAUGGUUGUCGUCAGCUCGUGCCGUGAGGUGUCGGCUUAAGUGCCAUAACGAGCGCAACCCUUAUCUUCAGUUACUAACAGGUCAUGCUGAGGACUCUGGAGAGACUGCCGUCGUAAGAUGUGAGGAAGGUGGGGAUGACGUCAAAUCAGCACGGCCCUUACGUCCGGGGCUACACACGUGUUACAAUGGGGGGUACAGAAGGCAGCUAGCGGGUGACCGUAUGCUAAUCCCAAAAUCCUCUCUCAGUUCGGAUCGAAGUCUGCAACCCGACUUCGUGAAGCUGGAUUCGCUAGUAAUCGCGCAUCAGCCACGGCGCGGUGAAUACGUUCCCGGGCCUUGCACA
Molecule: ribosomal RNA, 1365 nt
Filed under: uncultured bacterium
Lineage: Bacteria
Description: bacterial SSU rRNA
Rfam family: Bacterial small subunit ribosomal RNA
Source: RNAcentral